Molecule: ribosomal RNA, 440 nt
Filed under: uncultured bacterium
Lineage: Bacteria
Description: partial 16S ribosomal RNA
Rfam family: Bacterial small subunit ribosomal RNA
Source: RNAcentral
CCUACGGGCGGCAGCAGUGGGGAAUAUUGCACAAUGGGGGAAACCCUGAUGCAGCGACGUCGCGUGAGUGAAGAAGUAAUUCGUUACGUAAAGCUCUAUCAGCAGGGAAGAAAAUGACGGUACCUGAGUCAGAAGCCCCGGCUAACUACGUGCCAGCAGCCGCGGUAAUACGUAGGGGGCAAGCGUUAUCCGGAUUUACUGGGGGUAAAGGGAGCGUAGACGGUGCGGCAAGUCUGGAGGGAAAUGCCGCAGGUUAACUGCGGAACUGCUUUGGAAACUGGCGAACUAGAGUGCGGGAGGGGUAAGCGGAAUGCGUGGUGUAGCGGUGAAAUGCGUAGAGAUUAGGAAGAACACCGGUGGCGAAGGCAGCUUACUGGACCGUAACUGACGUUGAGGCUCGAAAGCGUGGGGAGCAAACAGGAUUAGAUACCCGGGUAGUC